UACGAAGGGGGCUAGCGUUGCUCGGAAUCACUGGGCGUAAAGGGUGCGUAGGCGGGUCUUUUAAGUCAGGGGUGAAAUCCUGGAGCUCAACUCCAGAACUGCCUUUGAUACUGGCGAUCUUGAGUCCGGAAGAGGUGAGUGGAACUCCUAGUGUAGAGGUGGAAUUCGUAGAUAUUAGGAAGAACACCAGUGGCGAAGGCGGCUCACUGGUCCGGUACUGACGCUGAGGUGGCGAAAGCGUGGGGAGCAAACAGG
This 255-nucleotide ribosomal RNA is filed under the name uncultured bacterium. RNAcentral's name for it is "partial 16S ribosomal RNA". It matches the Rfam family "Bacterial small subunit ribosomal RNA", at positions 524 to 776 of the family's 1533-position model. The record is from RNAcentral.